AGCUAUGUUAAAGAGUUAUUCUUGGGUUCACCGCCUAGGGUGAACCUCUAGAUUCACCAGCCAAUAGAAUUUCAUUAUUUCAAAUUCGAUAUUUUUUAAAAAAGGAAACAAAAUAUUAUCAAGUUAUAUUAUGUUUUUAAAAUAAAAAAGUAAAAAAAAAAAUAGCAGCUACAGAAAAAAAAAUUAAAAAAAUAUUUUUAACGUCGUCAGCAAAAUAUUAAACCCUAAAUCCUAAUCCCUAAACCCUAAAUCCUAAUCCAUAAACCCUAAAUCAUAAACCCUAAACCCUUGGGUAAACCUAAACCCUUGGGUAAAUCCUAAACCCUUGGAUAAACCCUAAACCCUUGGAUAAACUCUAAACCCUUAGGUAAACCCUAAACCCUUAGGUAAACCCUAAACCCUUGGAUAAAUCUUAAACUCUAAAUAAAAACACUAAACCCUAAAACUUUAAACCCUAAAUCCUAAACUCUAAACCCUCGA
RNAcentral lists this long non-coding RNA (480 nucleotides) under Brassica napus (rape). Its description in RNAcentral is "long non-coding RNA (BNAP_LNC024012)". Lineage: Eukaryota; Viridiplantae; Streptophyta; Magnoliopsida; Brassicales; Brassicaceae. The record is from RNAcentral.